AGCCCGGCGUGUGAUCUUAUUGGUA
RNAcentral lists this microRNA (25 nucleotides) under Heliconius melpomene (postman butterfly). RNAcentral's name for it is "Hme-Mir-970_5p* (star (passenger))". The record is from RNAcentral. Lineage: Eukaryota; Metazoa; Arthropoda; Insecta; Lepidoptera; Nymphalidae.